This 794-nucleotide long non-coding RNA is filed under the name Heterocephalus glaber (naked mole-rat). Its description in RNAcentral is "lncRNA (ENSHGLG00100042217.1)". The record is from RNAcentral. Lineage: Eukaryota; Metazoa; Chordata; Mammalia; Rodentia; Bathyergidae.
GCCCAGCCUUCCUCCCUCCUCAUUCCCCUGUCUUCAUUCCAGAGAGAAGGGGUUGGGGGAAUUUCUGAAUAACCGCCCCCAGCUCCUCAAGAGGGCCCUAGUUUCCACACUAUUCUCUAGGUCCUUGUCCACUUCUGGACUCUUCCCUGUGACUCAGGGCCUAGACUCUCUGGGAAUGGAGAGGGAGAGGAAUGUGGCACAAGGGAGCUGACUUGGGGGCUAUUUCUGACUCUGGAGUCAUCAGCUGCUCAGUCACAGACGAGGGUGGCAGUGAGGUAGGGGUAUCACAUUUGCCUCCUCUUUGCUCCCUGGAAGAGCCUGAGGGACCUGGUGGGCUUCAGAGAUGCGGGCACUUGGACCGGUAUGGAGGGAAGUUGGGGAACACCCACAGCUCAUACGGAAGAGGCUUCCUGGAGGGGGAGAUGGAAAAAAGAGACCACAUAGGAGACUGUACUGAUGCGUUUAUGACCGGAUGGUAGAAGACUGUGCCACCCCGAGAUGUGCCACUUCAGCACAAGGAUUACUUUGAGCUAAAGUCAAUUGGGAAGGAACACACAAGAUUUCUUUCUUCCCUCUUCCGGGAGGAAAAGCAGCGAAGACAUCGCCACACCCCUAUGGCCUGCAGAGGGCGCCAGAGGACUCUGACGACCUGUACCACCCGGAAGACACGCUCUUUUCCUGUCUUGUCACUACCCUUAUUGUUCUUUAUCCGUGUUGUCGGAGUUCUAAGCCACCUCUUUGAGAGUUACUGUCCCUAGGUUUUUCUCUCAUGUACGUUUGAAUGUAUAUGUUAA